CUGUGAAAAUUUUAAAAUUGCAUGCAUAGAACUGCCUGUCUUUCCUUCAGUCCUAUCAAAGGGAAUCAAUGCAAAAUAUUCUGAAGAUAAAGUGGAUCACUAUGAUAAUGUUGAUCCUGACUUGAUGAGUUACUUUGAACUCCAAAGCAUGUGUGUUGAUUCGGGGUGCCCAUCUACCAAUAACAUAUAUUUCUUAGUAUCCAAUGAUAAUGUUGAACAUAAAUUAAGAUUGUUAGAGAGUGAUGAUGACAUAAUGUACAUGUUGGAGUUACAUUCAUAGUGGAGAGUCUUUUGUAUU
Molecule: long non-coding RNA, 298 nt
Filed under: Elaeis guineensis (African oil palm)
Lineage: Eukaryota; Viridiplantae; Streptophyta; Magnoliopsida; Arecales; Arecaceae
Description: long non-coding RNA (EGUI_LNC059118)
Source: RNAcentral